Pteropus vampyrus (large flying fox) is the source of this 107-nucleotide small nuclear RNA. The record is from Ensembl. NCBI's taxonomy places the organism in Eukaryota, Metazoa, Chordata, Mammalia, Chiroptera, Pteropodidae.
GUACUCGCUUCGGCAGCACAUAUACUAAAAUUGGAAUGAUAUGGAAAAGAUUAACACAGUCUCUGUGUGAGGAUGACAUGCAAAUUCAUGCAGCAUGCCAUGUUUUU